AUUGAACGCUGGCGGUAGGCCUAACACAUGCAAGUCGAACGGUAACAGGAAACAGCUUGCUGUUUCGCUGACGAGUGGCGGACGGGUGAGUAAUGUCUGGGAAACUGCCUGAUGGAGGGGGAUAACUACUGGAAACGGUAGCUAAUACCGCAUAACGUCGCAAGACCAAAGAGGGGGACCUUCGGGCCUCUUGCCAUCGGAUGUGCCCAGAUGGGAUUAGCUAGUAGGUGGGGUAACGGCUCACCUAGGCGACGAUCCCUAGCUGGUCUGAGAGGAUGACCAGCCACACUGGAACUGAGACACGGUCCAGACUCCUACGGGAGGCAGCAGUGGGGAAUAUUGCACAAUGGGCGCAAGCCUGAUGCAGCCAUGCCGCGUGUAUGAAGAAGGCCUUCGGGUUGUAAAGUACUUUCAGCGGGGAGGAAGGGAGUAAAGUUAAUACCUUUACUCAUUGACGUUACCCGCAGAAGAAGCACCGGCUAACUCCGUG
RNAcentral lists this ribosomal RNA (490 nucleotides) under uncultured bacterium. Its description in RNAcentral is "partial 16S ribosomal RNA". It matches the Rfam family "Bacterial small subunit ribosomal RNA", at positions 30 to 507 of the family's 1533-position model. The record is from RNAcentral.